Long non-coding RNA from Biomphalaria glabrata, 515 nucleotides. RefSeq lists it as uncharacterized. Lineage: Eukaryota; Metazoa; Mollusca; Gastropoda; Planorbidae. The transcript has 3 exons. The record is from RefSeq and is a predicted model, not a curated record.
GUAGGUUAUGGUAUUCCAGCACCAAUGUUUGUUAGGUGCACAAUUUUUGAACGCACUUUCUUUGUUGCUUUGCUUUUAAGCUUAUGGAGGUUUUUUUUGUUGUUAUGCUGGUGUAACGUUUCUUUCGUCUGUGUACCCCUGUUUAGGUUGCUCAUUCAGAAACUCUAACAUGCUACAGGGUGCAUUGCAUUGCAAGUACAGACAUGACAGUAAACAUCACAGUGUAUAGCCUUACAAUAAACUUGAGUUCCAUGUCGGAUAGGAUCGUUAUAAUUCUACCAACAACAUCUGAUGCCGGUGCUGACCAAGAAUCCAUACGACCUGCAUGAAAGAAUGUGUCUUUUAUCAGGAGCCGGAAAUUUAAAAUCAAUAACUCCCGUCAGGAGAUUUCCGAUGUCAACGUCUGAUGCGGAACUGGAAGAACACGAGACUUGACAGGCUACCAACUCAUUUGUUGAGCGUCCAUUAAGAGUCGAGUCUACUCCUAUCAUAACCCUUGACCAAAGGGAAGGAUU